CGCCAGUCUGCGUGGAGCCAACCUUGAAAUACCACCCUUUAAUGUUUGAUGUUCUAACGUUGGCCCCUGACCGGGGUUGCGGACAGUGUCUGGGGGGUAGUUUGACUGGGGCGGUCUCCUCCCAAAGCGUAACGGAGGAGCACGAAGGUUAGCUAAUCCUGGUCGGACAUCAGGAGGUUAGUGCAAUGGCAUAAGCUAGCUUGACUGCGAGCGUGACGGCGCGAGCAGGUGCGAAAGCAGGUCAUAGUGAUCCGGUGGUUCUGAAUGGAAGGGCCAUCGCUCAACGGAUAAAAGGUACUCCGGGGAUAACAGGCUGAUACCGCCCAAGAGUUCAUAUCGACGGCGGUGUUUGGCCCCUCGAUGUCGGCUCAUCACAUCCUGGGGCUGAAGUAGGUCCCAAGGGUAUGGCUGUUCGCCAUUUAAAGUGG
Molecule: ribosomal RNA, 428 nt
Filed under: Klebsiella pneumoniae
Lineage: Bacteria; Pseudomonadati; Pseudomonadota; Gammaproteobacteria; Enterobacterales; Enterobacteriaceae
Description: partial 23S ribosomal RNA
Rfam family: Bacterial large subunit ribosomal RNA
Source: RNAcentral